Quercus lobata is the source of this 718-nucleotide long non-coding RNA. RefSeq lists it as uncharacterized. The record is from RefSeq and is a predicted model, not a curated record. The transcript is spliced from 2 exons. NCBI's taxonomy places the organism in Eukaryota, Viridiplantae, Streptophyta, Magnoliopsida, Fagales, Fagaceae.
CCUCGUAUAAGACACCCUGGCGAUCCGCGUGAUUCACUUUUGCCUUUCCCUUCUCUAUUCUUUUGUCUUCAGUUUGUCCAAAUUUCAGAAAGAAACAGUCUCUCUCUCUUACCGUCUUACCCUUGAUCUUUAUCUGGCACACCCAUUGCCGAAUCUCCAUCACUGCUGCUAGCCACCGAGAGUCCCACAUCACCACCACCGGCGGUGCUCUCCGAUGUGACCCUCUCCUCUCUUAAGUCUUGAGGAAGAUUCAUCAAAUUGAGAAAUACAUCAGGCUACUCUCCAAAUUGGCUGAUUUCCUUCACUUCCUACUUACAGAAGAAAAGGAAGCUGAUAUUGGGGAACAAAGUGCAGAAGCUCUCCCAAGUUUAUCCCGCCAUCAAGGAGGUCCUUGGAAUGACAAGUCAGAGAGGUCUUUCAAAGGAUUUUGCGCCACUGUCCAUGGAGUCUAUCUUUUUUUCUUUCUUUUUUUCUCUAGUUGUUGCUAUUGUAUAAUUGAAUUGUUGAACAAGUUGUUGAAUUUUUCAUGUUGUAGCUGAUUUUGUUUUCAUGAGUAAUGAGUAUAUGCAAUGUAUACAGACACAUUCAUACAACUCAUGGUACACACUAUUUUGUUGUAUUUUUUUUUUACUUUACAUUGGAAAGUCAUUUUACAUGAUUAGUUGUAUUUCUCUUAUCAUUAGGGAUUGCUUCUUCUAUGGCAUCUCAUUACAGUUUC